This 429-nucleotide ribosomal RNA is filed under the name Bacteroidota bacterium. RNAcentral describes it as "Bacteroidetes bacterium partial 16S ribosomal RNA". It matches the Rfam family "Bacterial small subunit ribosomal RNA", at positions 355 to 776 of the family's 1533-position model. Lineage: Bacteria; Pseudomonadati; Bacteroidota. The record is from RNAcentral.
UAGGGAAUCUUCGGCAAUGGGGGGAACCCUGACCGAGCAACGCCGCGUGAGUGAAGAAGGUUUUCGGAUCGUAAAGCUCUGUUGUUAAGGAAGAACGAGUGUGAGAAUGGAAAGUUCAUACUGUGACGGUACUUAACCAGAAAGGGACGGCUAACUACGUGCCAGCAGCCGCGGUAAUACGUAGGUCCCGAGCGUUGUCCGGAUUUAUUGGGCGUAAAGCGAGCGCAGGCGGUUAGAUAAGUCUGAAGUUAAAGGCAGUGGCUCAACCAUUGUAGGCUUUGGACACUGUUUACCUUGAGUGCCGACGGGGAGAGUGGAAUUCCAUGUGUAGCGGUGAAAUGCGUGGAUAUAUGGAGGAACACCGGUGGCGAAAGCGGCUCUCUGGUCUGUAACUGACGCUGAGGCUCGAAAGCGUGGGGAGCGAACAGG